Molecule: ribosomal RNA, 253 nt
Filed under: uncultured bacterium
Lineage: Bacteria
Description: partial 16S ribosomal RNA
Rfam family: Bacterial small subunit ribosomal RNA
Source: RNAcentral
UACGGAGGGGACUAGCGUUGUUCGGAAUUACUGGGCGUAAAGGGCGCGUAGACGGCUUUGCAAGUGACGGGUGAAAUCCCUCGGCUUAACCGAGGAACUGCCUGUCAAACUGCAUGGCUUGAGACCAGGAGAGGUGAGUGGAAUUCCCAGUGUAGCGGUGAAAUGCGUAGAUAUUGGGAGGAACACCAGUGGCGAAGGCGGCUCACUGGACUGGUACUGACGCUGAUGCGCGAAAGCGUGGGGAGCAAACAGG